CCGCCCUAGUUCUAACCAUAAACGAUGCCAGCUAGCGAUCCGCCGAAGUUCCUCCGAUGACUCGGCGGGNGGAUAACUGUGGUAAUUCUAGAGCUAAUACAUGCAAACCAGAGUUCCGACCAGAGAUGGAAGGAACGCUUUUAUUAGAUCAAAACCAAUCGGUGGCGGGUUCACUCGUCCACCGUUUACCUUGGUGACUCUGAAUAACUUUGUGCUGAUCGCACGGUCUCGCACCGGCGACGCAUCUUUCAAAUGUCUGCCUUAUCAACUGUCGAUGGUAGGUUCUGCGCCUACCAUGGUUGUAACGGGUAACGGGGAAUCAGGGUUCGAUUCCGGAGAGGGAGCCUGAGAAACGGCUACCACAUCCAAGGAAGGCAGCAGGCGCGCAAAUUACCCACUCCCGGCACGGGGAGGUAGUGACGAAAAAUAACGAUACGUGACUCAUCCGCGGCCCCGUAAUCGGAAUGAGUACACUUUAAAUCCUUUAACACGGAUCCAUUGGAGGGCAAGUCUGGUGCCAGCAACCGCGGUAAUUUCAUCUCCAAUAGCGUAUAUUAAAGUUGUUGCGGUUAAAAAUCUCGUAGUUCAAUCUGUGUGCCACGCUGUCGGUUCAUCGCUCGCGAUGUUUAACUGACAUGAUUGUGGGACGUCCUACCGGUGGACUUAGCCCGUAAGGGCGGUCCAGCUAAUAUCCCAUCGCGGUGCUCUUUACCGAGUGUCGAGGUGGGCCGGUACGUUUACUUUGAACAAAUUAGAGUGCUCAAAGCAGGCUAUGUUCGCCUGAAUACUGUGUGCAUGGAAUAAUGGAAUAGGACCUCGGUUCUAUUUUGUUGGUUUUCGGAACCCCGAGGUAAUGAUUAAUAGGGACAGAUGGGGGCAUUCGUAUUGCGACGUUAGAGGUGAAAUUCUUGGAUCGUCGCAAGACGGACAGAAGCGAAAGCAUUUGCCANAGGAACGCUUUUAUUAGAUCAAAACCAAUCGGUGGCGGGUUCACUCGUCCACCGUUUACCUUGGUGACUCUGAAUAACUUUGUGCUGAUCGCACGGUCUCGCACCGGCGACGCAUCUUUCAAAUGUCUGCCUUAUCAACUGUCGAUGGUAGGUUCUGCGCCUACCAUGGUUGUAACGGGUAACGGGGAAUCAGGGUUCGAUUCCG
RNAcentral lists this non-coding RNA (1155 nucleotides) under Trichomalopsis sarcophagae. RNAcentral's name for it is "Eukaryotic small subunit ribosomal RNA". It matches the Rfam family "Eukaryotic small subunit ribosomal RNA", at positions 107 to 1116 of the family's 1831-position model. Lineage: Eukaryota; Metazoa; Arthropoda; Insecta; Hymenoptera; Pteromalidae. The record is from Rfam by way of RNAcentral.